This 934-nucleotide long non-coding RNA is filed under the name Equus caballus (horse). Its description in RNAcentral is "lncRNA (ENSECAG00000040899.2)". The record is from RNAcentral. Lineage: Eukaryota; Metazoa; Chordata; Mammalia; Perissodactyla; Equidae.
GUUGGGGACUGGGAAGAUAGAUAAACACCCUUAAACUCAUAGCAUUCCAACCAGAUUCUCCAAAGAAAUUCUCACUACCUAUCUUCCUUCUUGAUUAUUCUUUAUCCCUUUAUAUAACCAGGAGGUGGGUGCAGGGCUAGAGGUUUCAGAAGGAGUUUGAUGUCUCUUGGAUGUGGACAGAUUAUCUGGGACUUCUCUUUGGCGUGUGAGAACAUCUAACCCCCAUUCCUGUUUGGAAUCUCCAUCCAAAACCUCAAGGAUUUUGUUGAAGAAAGGGAAAAUCGUAUUGUCAGACUCAAAAAUGUUGCCGUCUUAAUUCCACAUUUAAUGUGGUUUUGAUGUAAGACUUUGGUGGCUCUCCAUUAUACACAGAAUACAGCUCAAGAACCUUAGCAGGACACAGGAGACUUUCCUGAUGUGGCUACAGUGAGUGUGAUUGAACCCCAGUGUUCCAGGGCCAGUCUCUCCAUUCCUCACCUUCCUGAUUUUGUCAGAACGAAUAGCUCCCUGGUGGGCAAGGAAGAGGAGAGUACGACUGAAGAAUGAGUGUUGGUGGUCCAAAGAAGACAGGAUUCCUUUAAGAGGGACUCAGGAGGAGUCGGAGAGAGAGAGAGGGCCAUGUGUUGACAGAAGCAAAAAGAGAAAAUGCUACGUAAUGCCAGACCAGGAGCCAAUGAAUGAAGAGAGACUUUAGAAGCUGGGAAAAGCAAGGGAAUGAGUUAUUCCCUACUGCCUCCAGAAAAAAGCAAUCCUACCAACACUUUGAGUUUAGCCCAGUAAGAAUCAUUUCAGAUUUUUGAUCUCCAGAACUGUAAGAGGAUAAUGUGUGCUGUUUUAAGCCAGGAAAUUUGUAGUAAUUUGAUACAGCAGCAGUAGGAAACUAAUAAGUGGUCUAAGCAACUGAAGGAUACAGGGGAUGGAAGACAGGAAGGAG